GGAAUAUAAGAAACUGUCUCUUAACUUUUAAUUAAAAAAGUUAAGAACCGGCUUUUAAAUAAGAGUUUUAAGGCCGAUUCUUAGCUUUUUAGUUAAAAGUUAAGAGACAGGUUCUUAUAUUCC
Molecule: non-coding RNA, 123 nt
Organism: Brassica napus (rape)
Lineage: Eukaryota; Viridiplantae; Streptophyta; Magnoliopsida; Brassicales; Brassicaceae
Source: Rfam